Molecule: long non-coding RNA, 509 nt
Filed under: Oryza brachyantha (malo sina)
Lineage: Eukaryota; Viridiplantae; Streptophyta; Magnoliopsida; Poales; Poaceae
Description: long non-coding RNA (OBRA_LNC003091)
Source: RNAcentral
AACCAGGAAAGGAUAGAGCAAUACGACCAUAUGUGUUGCUCACCAAGCGCAUCUAGCACACGUUGCUGAGGAGUGACCAACGUCUUGCAGUUUGCUGUGAUGGCAACCACAGAUUCAUGUGUUGCUGGCUGAGAGACCUAGGAGUAAAAAUGGGACGGAUAUUUCCCGUCAUCCCGCCUGACCCGAGGCUUAUGGGAAUAAUGUGGGAAAGAAGAAUGGUUAACCAAUAUUAUUCGAGUUCGAAUCCAAAUUGACAAAAAAAUAUAGGUUAGGAUAUGUGAAGAGCUAUAUCUGCCUGAAUGUCUCAUAUUAUUAAAUAUGUAAUAAAAUAUAUUAUGAGUUUAUAUAUAAACAUGGUAAAAUUAAGGUAAUCACUAUUUUAUAAGCUCACGAGUAGUAUUGUAUAUUUUUUUAUUAAAUAUUAUUUUUAAAUUCUAAUAAUCUUUCUAGAUUUAAUACACACAUAUAUAUAUUAGAGGUAAAAAAUACCCGUUUUUGAAUCCGAAUGU